AAAAAAAAAAUCUAACUUGAUUAGACUCUAAAUUUAAUUGAGACAAAAAAAAAAUCUUAUAAUAUAUGUUUUAUUGCGAAGAAUAACACCAAUAGUUAAUGAAAAAAAAGAAAGAAAUAUUUUACAAUAAACUCCAUAAUUAAAGGGUGUGCUGCUAGUUCCUAGUUCUAGAUGGAAGACAAAAUUAAGGGAUGGGCGUUUAAAUCAAUGGCAUUAAUAAAAUUAUUAAGUUUUGUUUGGCUUCUUCAUCCUUCUUUUUCCAAUGAAAAUCUCAAAAGACCAACAUCCCCUUUACUUGUCCCAUUCUCCAAAAUCCCACGAGACCACCUCCAUAUCCAUGAAUAUUCAAAUCAUUAACAAAAUUAAACCCAGAAAAUAAUUUUGAUUAUCCGCCGUUUGAUGGGUGAAUUGAAGGUACAUAAAUAAGAAAGAAAUACAAGGAACCUCAUCAUUUCAAGUGCAGCCCCCCCCAUUCCUUUCGAAAAAAUCAAAGAUAAAAAUGUCUAGGAAAAACAAAACCCACAAAUUUCAAUAGAAUGGAUUGCUUGGAUGGUGAAGUGAAGGACUCCAUUCAGUUGCUCGAGAAAGAAAAUAAAAACAAACAUCUAUCUUACUUCUAAAUUGGGAAGAAAUUAAGAAUGAUUUACAAUUUGGUUUAUUUUUUUUAAGCCACCAAAAUCUGAGUCAAAUCUCAAUCAGUCAAACUUUUUAUAACCCAAUGAACCCCAAUUAGUCUAUCAUCCUUGAACAAUGUAGUUUCUAAAUUAUUUUAAAACUUCAUUUUUCAAUUUGCAAAAUACCCACUUGCCCCUAUUAAAUUGUGAGAAAUCAGAGUAAAAGAGGGAAGAAAUAGAAAGUUGAUGAAAAACUUCAUGCUUUUAAGGGAGGUUUUUCCUUUUUUUUAUAUAUAAAAUUGAAAUUAGUACUUACAUGUAAUUGCGAGCGAGACUUAAAUUCUAGUACAAAUAAAAUGUUAUUAUUAGCUGUGAUUUUCAAAUUAAUCAACAUUUUCCAAAUUCAGAAAAUUCUUUUAGAGGAACAAAAUUAAAUUAUAAAAUUUUCCCAAAAUUCACUUUAUGGAAUCAUUAGCAUUUAAACACAAAGAUUAUUUAAACAAAGAAAAUGGCAUAUUACCAAUCAUCCUUUCCCCACAAUAGGAAACACCCGUCAUUGCUCCCAACGAUCCUUAUCAAUCCUUUGAAACUUGAGCUUCUAAAUAUCCCCCCUUCUCUUUAUAACCUUUUCCCCUCUCCCCACCCACUUUACUCUCACUCUCUCAACCCUCUUUCCCUUUCAACCAUGGAUCCAUCUUCCACAACCUCAGUCAAUGGCUUCUACACCUUCCUCACUCGUGGCAUAGAUGAUCUUGAACGUGUUUAUCUCUCUAAUAACUUCAUGUCUAUCCAAUUCCUUCAAAGGGUUCUUUCCCUCCUUCGAUCUUUCCACUCCCAACUCCUCCUCCUUGUCCAAAAACUCCAUCUUCCCGUCGGUGAUAAGUGGCUUGAUGAAUACAUGGAUGAAAGCUCCAAGCUUUGGGAAGCUUGUCAUGUCCUUAAAACAGGCCUUUCUAGCAUGGAAAAUUAUUACUCUGCAGGGUUUAACAUCACUUCUUCUCUCGAUAAUCAUCGCCAUCUUAACCCCCAGGUUUCUAGACAGGUCAUUAAAUCAAACCCCCAAAUGUGAAUCCUUUUUAUGGUUUUUUAUUUGAUGAUGAUCUGAAUAUCUGAUCUUUGUUUUAAAAAAACCCCCCAAACAGAUAAUCCGAGCAAUUUCAGGGUGUCGAAGAGAAGCGUUGGGGCUUGAAGAAGAAAACAAAGCGUUGAUGCAAACCAGAAUCCAACCACUCUCAUUAAGGUUCGACGAGAGGGUUUCAAUCGAAUCAAAGCUGAACGGAUUCAAUGGCUUCCGAGGAGUAUUAUACGCAAUGAGGAACGUCAGUUCGUUGUUGCUGAUGAUCUUGUUGUACGGCCUGGUGUAUUGUUGGCCGGAAUCGAGUUUCCUACGAGGAGGGUACGAAGGGUGUUUGUUUUUCGGGUCAACAUUCAUGAUAUCAACGGCGAGGUUGCAGCAAAGAGUAGCCGAACAGAUAAACCAAAUGAAUGGGAGAGGAGGGAUAUUGAUGUACGAAUACAGGAGGGCAAAAAUGGCGAUGGAAGAAGUGAAGGAAGAAAUGGAGAGAAAAGGAGGGGAAAAUAGGGAAGAAGGGAUGAGGGAAAGAGUAGAGAAGAUGAAAGGGUGUUUUGGGGUGUUAAGAUGUGGAACAGAGAGUAUAAUAGCCCAAAUUGAUGAUUUCUUUGAUGAGAUUGUUGAAGGGAGGAAGAAACUUUUGGAUUUUUGCAGUCACAGGUAGAAUUUAAAAAAAAAACAAAAAAAAAACACAACACCAGUACUAGGAAAUUUGAUAAUGUUAAGGUAGUAGAUGAAGGAAUCACUUGUUUUGGGGGGUUGUCUCGAGUACCCUUUUUUUUCUUUCUUUCCUUUUUUUAAUUAAAAAAAUGUUUUCUUUUUAUCUCUUCACUCAUUGACUGCUUCUGUGAAGAUACUAAUAUUAAGGGUGCGUUUGGUUCGCUGUAUUGGAUUAGAGGUGUAUUGGAUUAGAGAUGUAUUGGAUUAGAGGUGUAAUAGCAAAUCAACUGUUUGGUUGAAUGUAAUGGAAUAGAGGCGUAAUAGUAAUCUUGUGUUUGGUUGAAUGGAAUAGAGGUGUAAUAGCAUAAUGGAAAAAACUAAAAUAAAUAGAAUACCAUAAAUUUGUUUUGGUAAAUGAUUAUUGUUAUUGUUAUUUAAAUUUUAAUAAGAUUAUUAUUAUCAAUAAUAAAUAAUUUAAUCAUAUUUAAACAUAAUUAUUAUUAAAUAUAUUAUAAUUAAAAUAUAUAAUUUAAUAAAAUUCUUAAUAAUUAAUAUUCUUAUAUGAAUUUACUCAAAUCAUAAUAUAUGAUACUAUAAAAUAUAAUUUGAAAUAAUUAAUAUUAAAUAUAUUUUAAUUAAAAUAUAUGAUUUAAUAAAAUUUAUAAUAAUUAUACCUAAUAAAUUUUCUUAUAUGAAUUUGUAUAAUUUAAAAUAAUUAUUAUUAAAUAUAAUUUAAUAAUAAUAUAUAAUUUCAUAAAAUUCUUGAUAAUAAAUUUUCUUAUAUAAAUUUAUAUAAUUUAAAAUAAUUAAUAUUAAAUAUAAUUUAAUAAUGAUAUAUAAUUUCAUAAAAUUCUUGAUAAUAAAUUUUCUUAUAUGAAUUUAUAUAAUUUAAAAUAAUUAAUAUUAAAUAUAAUUUAAUAAUGAUAUAUAAUUUAUACAUUUAACCAGUGCCAAGCAUUAUGACCUUUAAGCAAUGUUGAACUUGAUCACCCAAAUUUUCACAAAUACUGUUAAUUACUUAAUUCAAACUGCAUUGUACAAAAUGCCGGUCAGAUCAUUUCAACCUUCCAGCUACCAACUAAUAUGUUUUCCAAUUUUCUAGCCCACCCAAACUUUACAAAAUGCUAGAUAGCAUAUUAGUCACAAUCAUAUUCACAUCACUAACUAUAUCCGAAAAUGAAUGACCCUGGGAAAAAUUACAAAUAUUACAUGGAUUUCAUUCAAUCAAUGUUGAUGUAGAAGCAUCCUUGCCCUCUGUUGAAGUUGAGUCAAUGACCUAAUACAAGUGCCCUCCUCGCAUGUCUUUAAGCGUGUAAGGCUGAUUAGUUCCCGAAUAAAAACUACAAGACUACUUUGCAUUGGCAACUUGUCUUCAGAUCCCUUGCUUCGGUGUUUCCCUUAUACAACCUCAAAUUCUCUAGACUUACUGGCAGUUGUUCGUAGUACUGAGUCAGGAAGCCCUAAAAUGAUUACCAGUCAGGUGACAUUCAUCAUAGCAGAUGCUAAAAUUUUGCAAUCCAGUCGAUUCUCUAUAAACAAAGAUGUAGAUAAAUACAACAAAAUAUAUCUACAUCUUUUUGUCCUAAAGGUUCUCAAUAACAGAAGGUAUUGAUUAAUGCACAUUUCAACAAUCUGAGAAUAUGAACUAAAUUCAAGGAAAAAUCAACACUAAAAUAGCAAUGAGCCCUGCAUUUUACAAAUUUUCACUAAACAAAUUGGCAGAUAAGACUUCAAACUGAUGCUGUACAACUCAAAAUAUCUCAUUCACUCUCUCUGCACCUAAUAUAAUUUGCCAAUUAUAAAUGCUAUAAACUUCAGUUUAAAAAAUAUAUUAUCCAACAGAAAGCAGACACACCUUGGAAUUGUUCUUAUAGUCCACAGCUAAACGGUGGUAGUGUGUUGAAAACAUCCCUCGGCAUUGCACCUAAUAUAACUCAUAUUUCAAAUUACAGCAUAAGGGUCAACAAAGAACUUAAUUUGGAAGGUUUCAGAAAGAUGAGUGAAAAUUUCUGCUUGGACUGAUGGAAAAAGUUGCACCAACUUACAAAAUGGAGGACCUAAUGCACAUGUUUAAGGAACUGCUACAAAGAUUUGAUCGUCAGUCAACUAAGUCCGUCCAUGCCAAAGCCCAUAAUUCAAAUAUCAGUUAAAAGAAAUGAAACAAAUGACACUCACACUUCUCCAAUAUCAGAUUGACAAGCAGAUCAGACAACUAGAAGAACAAUAAAUAAUUGAAAUGGCCAAAGAAUCCUACUUUCAGUACCCACUACCAUUUUAUUGGGCUUGAAUUGGUAACACAAACACACACAAUCAAGAAAUUAAAUGUAGAUGAAAUCUAACCUUGAAUAACAUUGUUAUCUUGGUCAAUUUUUUCCAAUGCAGGAAUGCAAAAUGCUGCAGUUUUCCCAGUUCCAUUUUUGGCUCUAGCAAGAAUAUCACUUCCAGUUAAAGCAAUGGGAAUACUCUCUUCCUGAAUAGGAGAUGGUCUUUCAAAGCCCUUCUCAUAUAUUCCCAUAAUAAGUUCACGUUUCAGAAAGUAGUCUUCAAAUUCAUUUCCUUUGGUAGCAGUCACAUCCUGGCACAAAUUUAAUAGGCAGAUCAGUACAUAAGCGUCAAAAUUAAAAUUUUAAAAAAUAUCCAAAUACCAACAAAAGCACUGCCAUGCCCUGUGUGAAAUUUAUAUCAGAGAAACAAUAUGGAGUGCUAUCGAGGAUAAAGAAAUGCAAUUGCAAGCCUAAAAAUGGCCCUUUGUUCAAAAGGCCUCAACAUCAAGGAACUAGUAUCAGUGUCCUUAAGUUAUAAUCUUUGGAAACUGUCCAUUCAAAAUCAUAUACCUUAUAGGAAAUUAAUGAGUAAUUCACCUGCAUUGCCCAAAUAACAUAAGCCAGAAAUUUUUCCUUCGAGAAUUUUCAUAGUUUAACGAAGGUAUGACAAUUAUAUAUAGUGAAAUAAACAAAACCAAUGCUACAAUUUCUUUAACCAUAACUGGUAAAAGCAGAAACUUCAAGGAAUUUUUAAAACGAUAGGUAAGCUAUGCAAUAUUAUUAAAAAGGUUGUAUUAACUUCAAUAUCUACUCAAUUAAUAUCAUUAACAAAAAUACCUCCGUUUUGUAGCGUGUAUCUGAUGGUGGCAUCUUUAGCCUUGCCUUCCAAUCAUGUGAACUGAAAGAUGAAAAAGAAUGUAAAACCGUGCACAAUUCAAUAUGAAAUACAUAAAAGAAAAUUCAAUAAAAAAAUUAAUAACUGUAAACAAUGCACAAGAAAUUUAAUUUGUGAAAAAAAUAUAAUUAUGAACAUUCAAUACGUAACAUGUACAAGAAAAUUAAAUAAAAAUUAAUCACAAAUGCAAUUAAAAAGAAAAAAGGAGAAGAAACAAAAAAGAACCUUGAGUUGACGACUUCAGAUUGUACGGCCUUCUCGACCUCAUCGGCGACAGUGGACUCAUUUCCGCCGGGCAAUUGGUUUCAUCUGAGCCACUGCUGUUGAUGUUGUUGCUGUUUGCAGAUGAUGAUGAUGAUGAUGAUGAUGUUGUUGUUGUUGAAAAUGAUGAUGAUUCUGCACCAAAUUUCUCUGCGCAUACUGCGGUUGCUCCAGCCUCGAUUGAAAGCUAGGGUUCGCGUUCGCUCCGCGGCUAUGGCUGAGCACCGAUGGAUACCUCCCUCUAUUAUUCGUAGCACGGCCCUAAACUCCCUAAAAAACAAACAAAUUCUAAAACCUAGGAAAAAAAUAGAAAUCUAUAUAUACAACCGCAAAAAAGGAAGUUAAAGAGUGGAGUUUCUUCCAAUGGGUUAACGCCGUAAAUAGUGGCAAAACCAAGGGUCGUCCUACGAAACAACGCUGCUAGGGUUGGUUAGAUGAAGAAAAAAAACCGGUUAGAUGGGAAAUUUAAAAUGAAAAUGGUGGGUGCUGCUGCGCAGAUCUAUUGAGAAAAUAAUAAUACAAAAAAAAACAUAUAACAGGGAGAAGGAGAAACAGCGAGGAGAGUGGAGAAGAAAGGUAGAAGGAAGAAACAGAAGACUUUGGGUAAGACAGAAGCGUCAAUCGGGAGGCUAAAACAGGGAAGAAAAUUGAAUCAGGACCUAAACUGAGCAAAAGGGAUGUAUUACAAAUCGGUGGAUUUCACCGAUUAAGUAAGUAACGUAUUACACCCGUAAUAGCAUUACCAUGAACCAAACAAUGGACUAAAGGGGGCUUAAGUGGGGCCCACUGAUUAGGGGUGUAUUGGCAUAGCCAAUACACCCAACCAAACAUGCUGUAAGUACUAUUUUGUUUUUCCAUGCUUAUAUAAUUUUUUGGGUAAAUUACAUCUAAGGUUAUGAAACUAUUAAUAAGUUUAUAUUUUAUUCAUUCAACUCUAAAAAAUUACAAGUUGGCCUCUAGUAUGUUAAGUUUCUUAUGGAUGUCAGACGUGUGGACCGGUAAAUUUAUAAUUUGAUCAACCAAUUAUUAAUAAAUUUACAAUUUAGUCACUCUUAGUAUAAUUUAAUAUAUAUUUUAAAAAUUAAAACAAUUAAAUAAAAUAGGCUUCUUAACUAAACAAAAAAAAACCAUUCUCAGUAGUGUCUUAACUAAUAUAACUAACCCUUUAUAUUAUAUAAAAAUAUUUGAAGGAAAUUAACAAAUUUAACUAAUAGCUUUUAUAUUAAUAUGAAAAAAAAACUUCUUCACAGUCACUUGACCUAAAAUAUUAAUAUUAACACAAAACCUAUUAAUAUAAAACCGCUUUUCCCAGUAGCCAAUUAAAAUAAAAAAUUUACAUAUCAAGUCCCUAAACAUUUUAAGUCAUCACAUUUCAAUUUGAUAUCACCAAUAUGUGAGGCGAUAUUGGCGGAACACCGUAAUAAAUGUCUAUUUUCAUAAUGUAAAUAUAUAAUAUCUUGAAUAUAACUAUCAUAAAAAAAAUAAUUUGAAUAUGAUACAAAUAUACAUAUCUUUCUAGUUUCUUCCCCUCCUCUAAUUUUAUCUUCCUUUUCCUUCUCUUUCACCACAAGAAGUGGUAAGAAAUAUCUUAAUUAUGUUGGGAUAUCGAAGCAUCAAUGGUAUAGAGAAAAAUUAAAUAUGAUGAUCACAGACCAUGAAUUCAUGUGCGUUAUGAUAUAUUCGAGAAAAAGAAAAGGUUUUGAAAUAUAACUUUGGUUGAUCUAAGUAGAUAAUCCGAAUUCACGACACAAGCAAACCUCAAUCACAACUUUUCUCGCUUCGGCCCCUACAUCAUCCACUUCAUUUGAAUGAUUAGAAUUCACUCUUUGGUUUUUAAAAGACUAUAUGAAAUUCUCUCUUGUGCUAUCUAGUAGGAAUUUCUAUCCAAGUAAAAACAUGAUUCUGUAUCUUGUAAUUAUUUCAUAAUUAUGAUAGAAGAUAUUUUUAACUCUCAUUUAAACCACCUAGUUUAAUGUGACAUUUUUAUUAAAUAAAAUCUAUCAAAAAGAUUAUUUUAGUUAUGUAAAUGUUAUACCCUAACCAUUCGGACCGAGCAUUAAGCCUACAGAAGAUGCGAGUUAACCCCUUGGACAAACUUUUCGGAGGAAACCCUCUAGGCCAACAAUUGAACGAGCCCCACUCAUUAACUGUAACACUAGACUCCUGCCGUAACAUCUCAUCUGAGGUGCCACAAGGUAAAUCAUGUGCCACCUUACCCUGGCCUAUACCAUCAGACCACUUAACUUUAGCCAUCCAAUAGCAGCCUGCCACAUGACACCUGAGAUAUGAGAUUAAAGGUAUAAGGCCUAAACUAAUCAAGAAACAAAGGAUCUCCUCUCAAAACCAACUUUUACAACCUUUCUCCCUUUCUUCUCCCUUAUUACCACUAUUGACUACCUUAACCGAUAGCUCUUUACCUUCUACUGAACGAGGUGAGACCUACAUCCUCACCAUACUCUCUACCUUGUUUGUUUAACCCAUCAACAAUUAGUGCAAUAAGUAUGACCAAUGAUAUAUACUGUAGCGACGUAAAAAUUGGUUCCGGGGUCGCUAAUUGUGGCGAUCUAGUGAAAAAGUUUGGAAACUGAAGUUCAAUUUUAAAAUAAAGAGGGACUCGCCACCGAUCCUUUUUACUAGGUGUGACCAGACACCUGUUAGACUUCUUUUUUUUAAAACAAAAGGAAGGCUAAAUUUAAGUCUACGUUAAAAGCCAGAGGAAAAUUAGGGUUCGGGAGUCGGUUACGCGCAAGGAAGGUAUUAGCACCCUCGCGACGCCCAAAAAUUGGUAUCUCAUAAACACAUGUUGUCUUAAUUUUAAAAAAUACGGUUCAAUGUAAAAUUUAGUCGUGAUCCGAUUAAAAAACAAGACUUUAGUUUCUUCCGUUUUUUCUUUUAGAAGGGUAUAUCACUUUAACAUGAGUCAAUUGACGUUCACCCAACAUAGCGAUGAACUUGAUAACUUAAUGUUAAAUCGAUAUAUUGCCUUGACUAUUGAAAUUAAUUAGAAAACCGGAACGUAAUUUUCAAGAGAAUGCAAGACAUAAUUUAUACGAAAUGAAAAUAAGCAAAUGAAACGACUUGACACAUUUGAAACAAAUAACAAACAUAACCAUAAUAUUAGAAAAUAAUAACCGUGCAUGCAAGAUCAAAUGCAAUGUUAGCAUUGAAUACGAGAACGUAACAAGGAUACAAUGAAUACACAUAUGAAGAUAAUUAAGAGCAUAUACGUAAAAUAUUUAUAUAAAUAGUAGUAGUGUUAGAAAUAUACUAUACGUAUAGUGUUUGAAGUACGUAUAAGAUAGUAAAAAAGUACAUAACUAGCAACAAUAAAAUAAAAUAUAUACAUAUAGGUGUAAAAAAUAAUAUUACAAAAAGGGUAGGUAUACAUGUAUAAAAAAUAGAUGUAUUAACAAUGAAUAUAAUAAUAAAUAUAAUAGUAGAAAAGAUAAUACUAUAUGAAAUGUGUAUAUAUAUAAUAACAUAUGUAUGCUAAUAUGAAUAAUGAUAAUAAUACUAAUAAUAAUAAUAAAACACGAAGAAGUAUAUAUAAUAUAAUGAAAAUAUGUAUGUCUAUACGUAUAUAUAUGUGUAUGUAUAAGAAUUAUAAAAUAUGAAAACAUAAUUACAUAUAUAUAAAUAACAUGCGCAUAUGUGUAUAUAAAGAUUUAAAUCAAGUAAUACAAAUAAUAAGAAAAAUAUUAGGUAAAUAAAAUAUACACAUAUAUAUAACUUAAAAUAAAUAAUAAAGGAAACUCCCCUGUUCUUUUUUUUAAAACAAAAAAAUAAUAAUAACUUAAAUGAAUUAAAGGAUGAAAAUUAAAAUCAAACCAAAAUCCGGGGGUCCAAACUGUAAAUAUAUGAAAUAUGUGGUAAAGGGACUGAAAUAAAAGGCGCCGAGGACAUGGGGGACCGAUUGCGCAAUAUUCCCUGUUUGAGUAAAACAAAAACUGUAUCGAAUGUGCCGCAGAAAUGGAGGGACCAAAGGUGAAAAAUACCCAUUAUGGCAAUAAUGUGCAGAUUUUCCUCCCUUAAACGACGCAGUUUAGAAUCUUGUAUAAAUAGAAAAAGAUAAAGCCCUAAAAAGCAUCAGCCUCCAUUUCCUUUUCUUUUUUUUAAAAAAACUGAGGAUUUCAAACCCUCUCAACUCCCAUUCCUCGGCCGUUCCGAUUCGCCGCCACGGCCGGUGGCCGGCGUCGCGCAAAGGGGGCUCCCGAUCCGCACGUUGAAGCACCUUUAAAGGUUCAAGCCUUGGAAAGGGGAAUCGAGGAGAAAACAAGAUCUUUGGCCCCCUCUCAAGCCCGAAUCCGACGACGGCAAAGGACCAUCGCCGGCCGGUCUAAGGGCCGAUUCAGGUGCACUCCCUCUUCCUUUUUUUAUAUUUAUUUUCUUUAUUAAAACGAAGUGGUAAAAAGAAAAGGAUAAAAUAAAAUAAAAUGAAAAUGCAAAAUGAAAAUGAAUAGAAACCGGUAAAGGCUUAACCUUUUUGAACUUCUAUUUUUUUUGUUUUUGAUUUCUAAUGUGCGUUUUUUUUACCAGGGAAAUCCCCCCCGAACCCUGAUACAAGAAAACAUUCGGCCUUUAUAGCCAAAAUACAAAAUCUUUCCGUUCUAUUCUCUGUCGUUUCUUUUUUGUCUAUCUCUUCUUUUUGUUGUUUUCUUUUUAGUCCGCGUGUCUUCUUCUCCUUGCAGGUGCCCGUGGCCGACAGUGGUGGCAGAGGCGUGCGAGUGGGCGUGGCAGACGAGGAGGCCACGCGAGGCAUGCGGCGCUAGGGUUUGGGGGGCAUCUUUCUGCCGAAAAUGUUAAUGUUGUCUGGGCUGGGUUUUUAAUUUUUGUUUUGGGCCAUGGGCUACAUUGGGCUUGUUAUUUUCCUUUGUAAUUGGACUGUUGUUUAUCUUGUUUUAAUAUUCGGGCCUGGGCAUAAAAUUGGGCCUUACAGCUGCCCCUCUUUGCUUGUUAUCGUGUAACGAGAACAGAGCAAAGACUAAGAAAGGCCAAUUUUGCCCGGGCUCGCCGAGUUUUGACUUCUUUUGGUGCUUCCUUUCUUCAAGUAGCCUCAUUCUAGUCCACUGUGUCUUAUGAUAUAUGCCUUGUAGUUUAAAUCUACUCCAAUGUGACUUCAAUCUGCUCUUUUAUCACUUCAGUGAGAUGAGAUUCGUGAUCUUCUCUUUUGUAACUCUAGCGAGACAAGAUUUGAUAUCCUCGAUCAGUUCCACUGCGACCUCAGGGAGACAAGACUUGCAACUUUUGACCGGCUCCACUGCAGCUUCAGGGAGACCAAGUCUGGUGUCUUUCAUCAACUUCAAUCUUUAUUCUUACUUGGCAUGUGAUCUUGAGCCCAACUCAUUUCUCGCAAUAUGAAUUGACUCUUUAAAAACAGACAUUAAAAACAAAAACUAAAGAUAUCUCAACAUGUGAACUGAGGCUCAACUCACUUUUCGCAAUAUGAGUUGAUUUUUUUGACAACAGAAAUUGAAAUUACCUCAGCGUGUCCUAAGGCUCAACUCAUUUCUCGCAAUAUGAGUUGAAUUUUGAAAAGCAGAAAUUGAAAAUACCUCAACGUGUCUUGAGGCUCAACUCAUUUAUCGCAAUAUGAGUUGAAUUUUGAAAACAGAAAUUGAAAUUACCUCAAUGUGUCUUGAGGCUCAACUUAUUUCUCGCAAUAUGAGUUGAUUCUUUCAAAAACAUAAUGACAAAAACAGAAAUGGAAAAUACCUCGGUAUGACCUGAGGCUCAACUCACCUCUCGCAAAUUGAGUUGAUUUUGAAAACAGAAAUUGAAAUUACCUCAGCGUGUCCUGAGGCUCAACUCAUUUCUCGCAAUAUAAGUUGAAUUUUGAAAACAGAAAUUGAAAUUAUCUCAGCGUGUCCUGAGGCUCAACUCAUUUCUUGCAAUAUGAGUUGAUUUUGAAAAACAAAAAUUGAAAAACAGAAAUGAAAAAUACCUCAACAUGUCCUGAGGCUCAACUCACCUCUUGCAAUAUGAGUUGAUUUAGAAAACAGACAUAAAAACAGAAAUUGAAAGUGACUCAACACGUGAGCCAAGGCUCAACUCACCUUUCGCAAUAUGAGUUGAUUUUUUUUGAAAGUAGAAUUUGAAAAUACCUCGGCGUGCCCCGAGGCUCAACUCACCUCUCGCAAUAUGAGUUGAUUUUUGAAAAAACAGAAAUUGAAAUUACCUCAGCGUGUCCUGAGGCUCAACUCACCUCUCGCAAUAUGAGUUGAUUUUUGAAAAACAUAAAUUGAACAGGAAUUGAAAAUACCUCAACGUGUCUUGAGGAUCAACUCACCUCUCGCAAUAUGAGUUGAUUUUUUUUUUUGACAACAGAAAUUGAAAUUACCUCAGCGUGUCCUGAGGCUCAACUCACCUCUAGCAAUAUGAGUUGAUUUUGAAAAACAAAAAUUGAACAGGAAUUGAAAAUACCUCAACGUGUCUUGAGGCUCAACUCACCUCUCGCAAUAUGAGUUGAUUUUCUUGAAAAGCAGAAAUUGAAAAUACCUCAAUGUGUCUUGAGGCUCAACUCAUUUCUCGCAAUAUGAGUUGAUUUUUUUGACAACAGAAAUUGAAAUUACCUCCGCGUGUCCUGAGACUCAACUCACCUCUAGCAAUAUGAGUUGAUUUUGAAAAACAAAAAUUGAAAUUACCUCAGCGUGUCCUGAGGCUCAACUCAUUUCUCGCGAUAUGAGUUGAUUUUUUUGGAAAGCAUGAAUAUCAAAAUACCAAAACUAGUCCUUUGGUAGAACUCGGGUAUCUUUUCCUUUGAUUCAGUGCGACUCUCAUUCAAGAUUUCUUGCUUUACUGGAUUACCUGUAUAUGCCAAGCAUGAUGUCAUCAUGAUAUGCACAUGUUUGUCUUAAAUGUCUUUAUGCCUACAUGAUUAUGCAGUGUUCCUUAAGCAUAUUGGUCGUAUGUCAUUUUCGCCAUGAUUGUUGAGGAUCUGCGUUCAUUGCUUUGAUUCUCGACCUUCUCUUCAGGCCUCAUACCUGUCUUCGAGCUUUACGAGUAAUCGACGUUUCUCAGAUAUCACCCUUUUGCCCUUGGUUAAACUUUGUUCUUGCUUUGAAGAUCUUGCACUUAUCAAAUUCUUAUCCGGAUAAUGCUUGACAUUUCUUUUGUUUAGAGUAUGUUAUUUCACUAUUUAUCAUUAAAUAAACACAUAAUGAGAUGCAUGAAAAUGGUCAGGUAAGGACAAAAAGGAUAUCUCAUAUUCCUUUAUUUCAAAUGCGGCAAACAAAGAAAGUUAACCAAUGAGAGUAAAAAUGUCAAAAAGAAAGAAAAGGUCGUAUUCAACGGAUACAAAUGCUCUAGAUAUUCAACACAUGAACUCUUCCACGUUCCUCAAUCAAUAAUCUUUUCGAGCAUGGCUUCUUGCGUAGAAAAUUUCAAGCUUUCAGAAGUGCUUCAAAUACUGUAGUCUCACUACUUGACCUAUCAUUCGACCGCCAGGUUUGUUUCAUUAGGACGCCCUCUCGGGUUUUCAUCCUAAUCUUUUUGUACUAAUCAAGACGCCCUUUUCGGGUUUUCGCCCUGAUCCCUCUUUUUUUUAUUUUUUAUUUUUUUUAAGAUGCCCUUUUCGGGUUUUCAUCUUAAGCAUAACAUUUCUUCACCGCAUCUGAAUUCACCGAAUUCGGUAACUCCUUCCCAUCUAUCUCGGUAAGGAUUAAAGCUCCUCCUGAGAAUGCCUUUUUUACAACGUAUGGUCCUUCCCAAUUUGGUGCCCAUUUUCCUCGCAGGUCUUUUUGUAUUGGGAGAAUCUUUCUCAGAACGAGUUCUCCUUCAUGGAACUCUCUUGGUCGUACCUUCUUGUCAUGGGCUGCAAUCAUUCUCUUUUGGUACAUUUGCCCAUGACAAAUUGCCUUUAGACGUUUUUCUUCAAUGAGGUUCAACUGAUCAUAUCGAGCUCGAACCCAUUCUGCUUCUUCUAACUUUGAUUCCAUCAAUACUCGCAGAGAGGGGAUCUCAACCUCGAUAGGUAGCACAGCUUCCAUUCCAUAGACUAGAGAAAAAAGAGUUGCUUCCGUAGAUGUUCACACAGAUGUACGAUAUGCAAAUAAAGCAAAUGGAAGUUUCUCGUGCCAAUCUUUAUAUGUCUCAGUCAUUUUCCCAAUGAUCCUCUUAAUGUUCUUGUUAGCUGCUUCAACAGCCCCGUUCAUCUUUGGGCGAUAGGGCGAGGAAUUAUGAUGCUUUAUUUGGAACUGCUCGCACACUUCUUUCAUCAUCUUAUUGUUCAGAUUCGUGGCAUUAUCUGAGAUGAUUCUUUCAGGCAAACCAUAUCGGCAAAUGAUUUCCUUUUUCAAAAACUUGCACACUGCAGUCUUCGUCACAUUGGCAAACGAAGCGGCUUCAAUCCAUUUUGUGAAGUAAUCGAUAACCACAAAAAUGAAUCGAUGUCCAUUUGAAGCUUUUGGAGAAAUUGGCCCUAUGACAUCCAUGCCCCACAUAGAAAAAGGCCACGGAGAAGUCAUGACAUGAAGGGGUGAAGGGGCUACAUGAAUUUUAUCGCCGUAGAUUUGACAUUUGUGGCAUUUUCUGGCAAAAUUGAUGCAGUCACUUUCCAUUGUCAGCCAAUAAUAACCGAGUCUCAUGAUCUUUCUGGCCAUAUUGAAACCAUUGGCAUGCGUUCCGCAAAUUCCCUCAUGGACCUCUUCAAGUAUUUUUCUGGCUUCAACAUCAUCCACACAUCUCAAAAGCAUCUGAUCCUUUCCUCUUUUAUAUAGGAUAUCCCCAUCAAGAACAAAUCCCGCUGCCAUUCUUCUAAUUGUUCUUUUAUCGUUCUCAUUCGCUUGUUCGGGAUACCUUUGAUUCUUGAUAUAUUCUAAGAUAUCAUGGAACCAAGGCCGUCCGUCUACUUCUUUCUCAAUGCUACAACAGUGUGCAGGGACCUCGUAUAUGCUCAUUUUGAGGGGCAUUAUUUCUGCUUCUCUACUUGCUUUGGACAUUGAAGCCAAAGUGGCUAGGGCAUCAGCCAAUUGGUUCUCUUCUCGUGGGAAGUAAUGAAAAGUUAUUUCUUUGAAUUCCUUGAUCAAUCCAGCCACUAAAUCGCUGUACUUAAUCAAUUUUGAGUCCCUCACUUCCCAUUCUCCACGGAUUUGGUAAAUCACUAGGGCUGAGUCCCCGUACACCUCCAAGAUCUCGAUGUUUCGUUCGAUAGCUGCACGAAGCCCCAUGAUAUAGGCCUCAUAUUCUGCGAUAUUAUUGGUACAGAAGAAGUUCAGUCUUGCAGUGAACGGAUAAUGAUUCCCGUCUGGUGAUACCAGGAUUGCUCCAAUUCCAUGCCCUAAAGCAUUUGACGCACCAUCAAAGCACAUCUUCCAUGACUUCUCUUUUGAUGACUCGGAUUCUAUUUUUGUGAUGCACAUUAAGUCUUCGUCUGGGAAAUCGAAUCUUAAAGGCUCAUAUUCUUCUGUCAUUCGAGUUGCUAAGAAGUCAGCUAUUGCGCUCCCUUUUAUCGACUUCUGACCUACAUAGGCAAUGUCAUAUUCCGAAAGGAGGAUCUGCAAUCGUGCCAUUCUUCCUGAUAGUGCCGGCGAUUCCAUCAUGUAUUUUAUUGGGUCCAGCUUUGAAAUUAGCCAUGUCGUGUGAUACAACAUAUAUUGUCUGAGUCUCCGAGCUACCCAAACCAGAGCGCAACAAUAUUUCUCAAUGGACGAAUAUUUUGCCUCAUAUUCAGUGAACUUUUUGCUGAGGUAGUAGAUCGCCUUUUCUUUUCUCCCUGACUCAUCAUGUUGCCCCAGUACGCAACCCAUUGAGUUUUCAAACACGGUCAGGUAUAAAAUUAAGGGUUUUCCAAGGGUCGGUGGUACUAGCACAGGAGGAUUAGACAGAUACCGUUUUAUCUUAUCGAAGGCCACUUGGCACUCCUCGUUCCAUUCUCCCGGGUUAUGUUUUUGAAGGAGUCGAAAAAUUGGGUCGCAUUGGUUGGUAAGUUGAGCAAUGAAUCGAGCAAUGUAAUUCAACCUCCCUAAAAAUCCCCUGACUUCUUUCUGUGUGCGCGGGGGAGGUAAUUCUUGGAUGGCUUUUAUUUUAUCUAGAUCAACUUCGAUACCUCUUUCACUAACAAUGAAGCCUAGCAAUUUUCCCGAGGUAGCCCCGAAUGUACAUUUGGCUGGAUUAAGCUUUAGCUGAAACUUUCUCAGCCUUUCGAACAACUUCUUGAGGUUCAUUACAUGUACUUCUUCUCCUCGAGAUUUAGCAAUCAUAUCAUCGACGUAGACCUCUAUUUCCUUAUGCAUCAUGUCAUGGAAUAAUGUCACCAUAGCCCUCUGAUAUGUUGCCCCAGCAUUCUUUAACCCGAAUGGCAUCACCUUGUAGCAGAACGUUCCCCACAUUGUUAUGAAGGUAGUUUUCUCCAUAUCCUCAGGGGCCAUCUUGAUCUGAUUAUACCCCGAGAAUCCAUCCAUGAAAGAAAACAAUGAAUGUUUUGCUGUGUUGUCCACCAACGUGUCAAUAUGUGGCAAGGGAAAAUUAUCUUUUGGGCUUGCUCGAUUCAGGUCACGGUAAUCCACGCACAUUCGUACUUUUCCAUCUUUCUUUGGUACCGGGACUAUGUUAGCCACCCAUUCUGGAUAUUUGGAGGCUUGUAGGAAGCCAGCGUCAAAUUUCUUCUUGACUUCCUCUUUUAUUUUCAACAGCAUUUUGGGUCUCAUCCGUAUUAAUUUUUGCUGGAUGGGCUUGCAUUCUGGCUUUAAUGGGAGCUUAUGGACCACUAAAUCUUCAUCUAGCCCUGGCAUGUCCUAGUAUGACCACGCGAAAACAUCUUUGUAUUCGCGGAGUAAAGUGAUCAAACUAUGCCUGGUACUUUCUGAAAUAGAAGUCCCAAUCUUCACUUCUUGUUUCCUCUCUUCAGUGCCCAAAUUUAUUGUUUCCACAGAUUCUUCAUGAGGCAGAACCUGUUUAUCCUCUUGUUCCACCAUUCUUAACAAUUUAGGAGACGAGACAUAAUCUUCAGCAUUUUCUUCGGCUUCAAAUUCUCCUAAGCAAACAGCCUUCUCAAAAUCAAUUUCAAGAUUCGUAACGGGCUUAUUCAUGUCGUCAAUAUCUGAGCACCUGAAAGUUGAAUGGAAAAGGAAGCUAUAGGGGGACAUAUAAGUAUUGGAAACAACAAACAAAUGUUAUGACAUGGUAAUGAGGCAAAUGUAAGGAUGAGAAAAUGAUUAUGAAAUUAGUGAUAAUGCGAAAAAUCGUGACAAAAUGCAUCUUCAUUGAUAUUCAUUUAAACGAUAAAGAGCGAAUGCAAACUCUUACAAAAGAAUUCUAUUAUAUCUAAGGACACAAUAGAAGGUUGAUGUUUAGCAUUACUCUGAAGGCUUAUAAACUACAAGAAGCUCCUCAGCAAUCUAAUUGUUCAACAUGAAACCAGGGGGGCAAGGGCAUAUCCUCGAGACAUCUUUACUUGCACCAGCUUCUUUGUCAAUGACAUUUAUACUGACAUUCUGAAAAUCCCUUUCAAUUAAUCCCAGCAUGUUUCGUGGAUCAUCUUGUCCAGGGUACAUCAUUCCCGCAGAUGUAAAUGUUUUUGACAAAGGAGGGUACUCUAUUGGUUCCCAUUCUGGUUCUCGGCCCAAAGUUCUUGCAAUUCUUCUCUCUUGAUCCUUCUUCCACUGUCUUCUUCUUUGACGCAUGUCAGGCUAGAACCCCAAACCGUAUCGGGCCUUGUGCUGCACUGGCUUUAAAGCCCUCACUAUUCCUUGCAGAUGUCUCCCUAAACCUCUUCUCGCACGAGCUCCCCUUCCUACGGUCAACUUGACACCCAUUCUGGUAUUUCUCGACAGUUUUGGCAUCAGAAUUCUAUUUCCCUCAGCGACGAAAGUGGCAUUGAUAAAUUCAAGGGAUUGAAAGGAACAUUCCACUGCGUCCUUGCUUACUUCCAGGUAUGGCGCAUCAGUAGAGAUAGAUGCGACGAUGUCUUCUUCGCCCUCGACUGUGACCAAACAGCCAUCCAUGAUGAAUUUCACCUUUUGAUGGAGGGAUGAUGGGACUGCUCCAGCAGAAUGAACCCAAUGUCUUCCCAAAAUGCAAUUAUAAGAGGGUGUAAUGUCCAUGACUUGGAAUUCGACCUCAUAGAUGUAGGGACCCACUUCUAAAGAGAUUUCGAUCUUUCUCAUAACUUCGCGCCUCGUCCCGUCGAAUGCCCUUACCGUGGAAUGACAGGGCUUUAAGUAGGACAAAUCCAUCGGUAUUCUGGAAAGCGUAGCCAAUGGCAUAACAUUUAUCGCUGACCCAUUAUCGAUGAGUACGUUCGGUAUUAUGUAGCCCUUGCAGCGGGUCGUGAUAUGCAGCGCUUUCACCGAGCCUCUACCAUUUGGCAGUAUCUCAUCAUCACUAAAAGAGAUAAAGUUGUCCGCAUUCAGAUUGUUUACCCACCUAUCAAGCUUUUCGACAGAUAUGUUGUUGGCCACGUAAGCUUGAUUUAACACCUUCAAUAAAGCGUUCCGGUGUGGCUCUGAAUUUAACCGUAGAGAUAGAACUGAGAUUCGUGCUGGCUGCUUGCUCAAUUGUUCCACCACACUAUAUUCGCUGUGCUUAAUAAAUUUCAAGAAUUCUUGAGCUUCUUCCUCAUUCACAGGCUUUUUAGUUUCUUGCACGGGUGGAAUUUCUUGCUCGACUUCGACCUCGUACAUCACUGCUUUCCCUUUUUGCUUUGAGUCGCUACUUUUCUUUACCGGUUCAACUUUUUUAGAAUAGCAUCGUCCACUUCUAGUAAAAUGACCUACCUCCCCAACAUCUUCAGUUAUGGCUUUGGACUUUUCAACUUUCGGUGUAACGAUAUUAACAUCAUAUUUCCACGGUACUAUUUUGUUGUCCUUAUACGGGAAAGGAGAUGGUACUUCAAUUACCAUCUGUGGUUUCAAUGGCUCUCUCAUCGCGUCGUAAUAAAUUACCAACGGUCGAUCAGCACUAUAAGGGGGCCCUGAUGAUUGGCUAUCAGAGACGCAUACUUCUCUUUCGUUGGCAUCUUCACUCUUGUUAAGGACCUUGAUCUCCUUAUUAUCCAUCCGGUCUUGAAGUAACCUUUUAAAGUCCUCACAUGACUGAAUGUCAUGUCCAACAAUCCCAUGAAAAUUGCAAAAUCUUUGACCUUCUUCUCCAAAAAUUCUAUCAGAGUGACAGAGCAAUCAUUUCUUAACCAAUACCUCCCAGAUUUUUUGUAGAGGCGUCCUUAUUUCUGAUACACAUCUUCUGACCUUCCAUUCAUCCUCUUUCCCCACUGUGCUCACAUUCCCUUCGGUAUGGUUAGGGAACGGGUUCCCCGUGGCGUUACUAGCACUAUCGAAUCGUAGGAUACCCGCGUCAAUGAGUCCUUGAACUCUCCUUUUGAAAGCGAGACAGUUCUCAGUAGAGUGCCCUUGGUUCCCUGCGUGGUAUGCACAACUAGCGUUUGGAUCGUACUACUUUGGGUAUGGAGGUUUAAGGGGUGCCAUGUAAUGGGGAGAAAUUAGCUAUUUUUCUAAAAGUUUUGGGUACAAUUCCCCAUACGACACAGGGAUGAGGGUAAAUUACGGUCUCUCGGGAUUAUGCCUUGAUUGGCUUUGGACGGGUACCAUGUUUUGUGGAAAAAUGGUGACGGGUCUUUGGUUGUUCGUGGCGUAUACGGGGCAGGACGGAUGUGGUGCUUGGUAGUAAGGGGUUUGAGGGGGAUAAUAGGAAUUCGGGGGUGGAUAAUUUCGAGGUCGGGGUUGGUUAGGAUACGAAUUGGGAAUGUAACGACUUCCAGUUCCCACCAUGUGGGCUUCUGGCUCUUUCUUCCUUAAGGGUGCUACUUUUCUUGAGCCUUCUGAUCCUUUCAUUCUACCGCUCUUGACGGCAUUCUCUAUGAGUUCACCGGAUAUUACAAUAUCCGUGAAAUCUUUCGUGGCACUUCCCACUAAUUUGUCAUAAAACGGUGCCUUUAAAGUAUUGAUAAAGAGAACGGUUAUCUCCGUUUUUGUUAGUGGGGGUUCCACUUGAGCUGAGAUGUCUCUCCAUCUCUGCGCAUACUGUCUAAAGGUCUCUGAUGGCUUUUUCUCCAUCAUUUGCAAGGUCAUACGGUCUGGUACCAUAUCCGAUACAUGCUUGUACUGUUCGCAAAAUGCUGACGCCAAGUCCUUCCAGGAUCGAAUCUUUUCUCUACUAAGUUGAUUGUACCACCGAAGAGCUGACCCUGUUAGACUAUCUUGAAAGCAAUGUAUGAGUAGUUUAUCCUCGUUCACAUAACUGGUCAUUUUUCGACAGAACAUAAUGAGAUGUGCUUUCGGGCACCUUGUCCCAUCAUACUUCUCAAAAUCAGGCACUUUGAACUUCGGAGGCAAAAUUAGAUCAGGUACCAAACUGAGUUCCUUGGCACCUAGUGCGGAGAAGACUUCAGUGCCUUCUAUUGCUUUGAGUCUUUCCUCUAGACUCCUAUAUUUUGCGUCAUGGUUAUCCAAUUUCAACUUGGCUACCUCUGCUGGGUCAUCCAGAUCUGGAACUAGUGGAUUAGCAGAACUAGCCCCUGGGUUCGACGCUAACAUUCCUUGCCCCAAAUUAGUGGGUGGAGCAGGUGGCAUAGGUCGAUGUUCCAAGCCAGUGGGUUCCUCUUGAGUAUACCCUCUUUGUAUUGUAUAUGCGGGCGGUGGAGUGAAUCCCGGGGGAUAGAGUGGAUCCUGAUCAUGGUGAAUUCUUGACCGAGGUUCCAUAACAUCGGGGUUCUGCAUUUUUCCUUUGACCAAAGUUGUCAUCAUCUCCAUCAUUUUAGCCAUCUGAUCUCUUUGCUCGAGAGAUUCCCCUCGAGAUCUCACCAUUAGGUCUCUCGUCUCUUGUUGCGAUUUGGCCAGUUGCUCUUGUAAUUCCUUUUGAGCCCUUUCCAUCCUUUCAAUUCUCUCAUUGAAUUCAUUCUCCAUUACUCUAGCUUGUCGGCGCGUUUUAUACGGAUGACGUGGUUCCAGUCUUGAAGUCUAGCAACUGCGAAUUGUACGUUUUAACCUAAGCGAACGAGUAUGGGAUAUGCAAUGAAUGAACUGAUGCAUGAAUGAAUGCAUGAAUGUCAAAUGAAUGUCAGUUAUGACUGAAAUGCAAGAAAUUGGUGUUGAUUUCAAGAUAGCCCCAUAUUUAGGCAUUUCAUUUAUCAACAUAGUCUAUUACACAAAGUUCUCAUUUUUCCAACAGUUACACAAAUUUCCUAGCCACAUUGCCUUGUUUCUUCACUUGCUCUAAAAACUCUGAUAUGCUCGAUCUUUGGCUCGAAGGGAAUUGGCAACUGAGAACUUCGGCUUCAUCUGAUAAUUGAACAACUUGCAUAGCCGCUUUACGAAUUUCAUUGAUUAAGAAGUCAAGUUGCAUUUCUUUUUCUUUGAGGGUUCCUUCAUACGCGUGAAUGUCCUUAUCGUACUACUCACUAUUUUCUUCUAGAGCCUUCAAGAGGUUAUCUAAUUGUUGUUGACGAGAUUGCAGCAUAUUUUCUAGAUCUCGUGUUUUCCUUUUUAAUUCUUGAUGUUCAGACUGACUAUUCGCCAAUUUUGCAGCCACUAUUUCAUACUCGGCGUUCUUCCUUCUUAACUCUAUCACAGCGCGCGCAGCCUUUUCCUCCUCUUUCUUUGCUUAUCCCUUCCAAAACUCCAUUCCUCCCUUGAUAUUGCUAAUUUCUUCCUUCCAUUCUGCUGUCGACUUGCCCAACCCGCUAUUCUUUAUAGUGUUUCUUAAUUUCUUGUUUUCCAAAUGAAGGUCCCUUAAGUCGUUUCUCACAAUCUCGGCUUCUCUUUGUACUUUUUCAGUCCUGGACCUUUCAACCUGAACUUCAAUCUUCAGUUGAUAGUUUUCUUCUUGAAGGGCACUAAGGUCCCGAGACAUCUUGGCCUUUUCUCGUUCGAAUUCUUGUCUUGCCAUUUCUAGCUCAGACGGCGUUUCCUCCGAGAAAGGAUUCUGGAUGGUGUAGUUUGUUGAUGAGAUUUGCUGACUAUUUACCCGUUGCUUCCUCCAUAUGUCGUAAUCUUGGGUAAGGGUAUCAGCAUACAAAGCUAAUUCCAUGAAAUGAAUUUCCUUCCAAUACUUUGCAGUGUCCCGGACUCUCUUCAUAUAUCCUUCACCCGCGAAAGCGAACUCGAACUGUGCUAAUCCUCCAGUUGCGGGGAGGAAUUGUCGUGAAGAAAACUGCCUUUGAACUAAUAGCGGGGCAUAUCCAAUUCCUCCCCAUAACCCGAGUAAAGGUACCCAAUCUUGGCUUCCACAUUUGUAUAGCAAAACUGAAGGACGGAUCCAGGGUGCUCUCCAUGUUAUAUUCUCGGCGCGAAGAUUCUAAAAAACUGAUACCCAAUGUUGCUUGGUGACUUCCUUCGGCCAUUCUUUAUUGAGGUAAGCUUCUAGCGGGGAGAAUGUUUUAGAAAACAUAUGGAACGGAGUGUGCUCUACCUUCCAGAAGUGACUCAAAAUCCAAACAUUGAGCAACUGCGCGCAUCCGAUAAAUCGUCCCUCCCCUUUUCUUCUACAACUACUCAGGGACCUGAAGGUCUCGGCUAGGAUGGUCGGGACAGGGUUGAUUCCUUGUUUUAACCUUUCGAAGAAAUCAACUACUGCAACUUCGAGAUGUCCGAGAACUUUUGGGAAAAUGACCAAACCGUAAAUGGCCAAAGCGAAUAGAUUUACCCUUUUCAACAUGUUGGGAUGGUUCAGAGCCAAAUCUCGUAGGGAGGACCAUGGAAUGCAAAUGGUUUCAUUCUUCUUCUUUAUCUGUUUUUCGGCCCAUGCAUCAGUCAUGUCUGUCAGUCUCACUAACUUUUUCUUGAAGGUCAUCGGCUUAGGCUCUUUCACAUAUAUUUUGCUGAAUUGUACAUUGUCGAUGCGGAGUAAAGCAGCAUACUCUUCUAUGGUUGGAGUCAUGUCUUCUUGAUUGAAGGUGAAACACUGAUAAGCUGGGUCCCAGAAUCGAACCAUGGCUUGAAUCAACUGUUCGUCUAUACGGAUGGUGAUCAGGUGAGCUAUAUCUCUAUACCUCUCAGUGAAAAUGUCUCUAGUGUCUGAAUCCCACUGAUUCCAAAUUCGAACCAAAUCCUCAAGGUUAUUUUGGCGAACAUUUACAGUUAUAUGUUCGGGCAAAUUGGGGACACAUCCUUCCACUAGACUAUCCCCCUUUUCUUUCUGAAUUUUUAGAGACCAGUCCCGAACCACGGCACUCUUCUCGGUUAUUUGUGUAAUUGACUCCUCCAUCAGAAACCCGUUUUUUGGCAACCAACCCUUAGUCAACACCUUCUUAAUAUGAUGCCUAUGAUGCAUGAUGAAAAUAAAAGUGAAAACAAACAAACUUGGUUAGUAAACACAACAAAUAUAAUUUGAAAAAUAAAUUAAACUACCCAAUCCAAUUAUUUUGCACAAACAGUGUAAAUGGAUGGCAAAAGGUAUUUUCCCCGUAUACUUGUUUUGGUGACUAUAAGCGGACAGAGGUUCGGCAUGGCUCUAAUUGGAUAGCUCGUAUGGUUCACUAUAUGCGGUUUUGGUUCUAGGUGGGUACUCGAAUUGCCCGUACUAUCAUCUGCUAAGAUUAGCACAGAGCCUCGGUCAUGGCCCAUCAUAGGCUUACGAGAUCAAUUCGAGGGAUUACAUUUACUUAUGCCUAUGCGGAGGGACAAGUUAACUCACGAAAGCAUAAGUCAUAUGUAACCCGAAAGUAUUCACUAGCCUGUGCGGAGGGACGAGUUAACUCACGAAGGCGUAGCAUUUACUUUCACUUAAACGGACGGAGCCCGGGUAGAGAGCUCAUGUUAUGCGAAAAUGCAAGUACACGGUGUGUGGGGAACAACUCAUAAACCUUUACGUUUCACUUAAAGAAACUAAACCAAAAUUAAAACCAUAAAAAUUGAAACACUGAAAAACAACCAAAUAAGCAAGUUAGAAGAAAUAUUUACAGCACGAUACAAAUGCAUGAAUUUUGAAAACGAGAUUUUCGGAUCAUGACCAAAUAUUUACUUUGAACAAGGAAAUUUGAAAAUUUUGACAAAAUGUGUUUAAUUCCAGACACGACUCUCAACAAGGCGGUCCCCAGUGGAGUCGCCAGCUGUAGCGACGUAAAAAUUGGUUCCGGGGUCGCUAAUUGUGGCGAUCUAGUGAAAAAGUUUGGAAACUGAAGUUCAAUUUUAAAAUAAAGAGGGAGUCGCCACCGAUCUUUUUUACUAGGUGUGACCGGACACCUGUCAGACUUCUUUUUUUUAAAACAAAAGGAAGGCUAAAUUUAAGUCUACGUUAAAAGCCAGAGGAAAAUUAGGGUUCGGGAGUCGGUUACGCGCAAGGAAGGUAUUAGCACCCUCGCGACGCCCAAAAAUUGGUAUCUCAUAAACACAUGUUGUCUUAAUUUUCAAAAAUACGGUUCAAUGUAAAAUUUAGUCGUGAUCCGAUUAAAAAACAAGACUUUAGUUUAUUCCGUUUUUUCUUUUAAAAGGGUAUAUCACUUUAACACGAGUCAAAAUACGUUCACCCAACAUAGCGAUGAACUUGAUAACUUAAUGUUAAAUCGAUAUAUUGCCUUGACUAUUGAAAUUAAUUAGAAAACCGGAACGUAAUUUUCAAGAGAAUGCAAGACAUAAUUGAUACGAAAUGAAAAUAAGCAAAUGAAACGACUUGACACAUUUGAAACAAAUAACAAACAUAACCAUAAUAUUAGAAAAUAAUAACCGUGCAUGCAAGAUCAAAUGCAAUGUUAGCAUUGAAUACGAGAACGUAACAAGGAUACAAUGAAUACACAUAUGAAGAUAAUUAAGAGUAUAUACGUAAAAUAUUUAUAUAAAUAGUAGUAGUGUUAGAAAUAUACUAUACGUAUAGUGUUUGAAGUACGUAUAAGAUAGUAAAAAAGUACAUAACUAGCAACAAUAAAAUAAAAUAUAUACAUAUAGGUGUAAAAAAUAAUAUUACAAAAAGGGUAGGUAUACAUGUAUAAAAAAUAGAUGUAUUAACAAUGAAUAUAAUAAUAAAUAUAAUAGUAGAAAAGAUAAUACUAUAUGAAAUGUGUAUAUAUAUAAUAACAUAUGUAUGCUAAUAUGAAUAAUGAUAAUAAUACUAAUAAUAAUAAUAAAACACGAAGAAGUAUAUAUAAUAUAAUGAAAAUAUGUAUGUCUAUACGUAUAUAUAUGUGUAUGUAUAAGAAUUAUAAAAUAUGAUAACAUAAUUACAUAUAUAUAAAUAACAUGCGCAUAUGUGUAUAUAAUGAUUUAAAUCAAGUAAUACAAAUAAUAAGAAAAAUAUUAGGUAAAUAAAAUAUACACAUAUAUAUAACUUAAAAUAAAUAAUAAAGGAAACUCCCCUGUUCUUUUUUUUAAAACAAAAAAAUAAUAAUAACUUAAAUGAAUUAAAGGAUGAAAAUUAAAAUCAAACCAAAAUCCGAGGGUCCAAACUGUAAAUAUAUGAAAUAUGUGGUAAAGGGACUGAAAUAAAAGGCGCCGAGGACAUGGGGGACCGAUUGCGCAAUAUUCCCUGUUUGAGUAAAACAAAAACUGUAUCGAAUGUGCCGCAGAAAUGGAGGGACCAAAGGUGAAAAAUACCUAUUAUGGCAAUAAUGUGCAGAUUUUCCUCCCUUAAACGACGCAGUUUAGAAUCUUGUAUAAAUAGAAAAAGAUAAAGCCCUAAAAAGCAUCAGCCUCCAUUUCCCUUUUUUUUUAAAAAAAACUGAGGAUUUCAAAUCCUCUCAACUCCCAUUCCUCGGCCGUUCCGAUUCGCCGCCACGGCCGGUGGCCGGCGUCGCGCAAAGGGGGCUCCCGAUCCGCACGUUGAAGCACCUUUAAAGGUUCGAGCCUUGGAAAGGGGAAUCGAGGAGAAAACAAGAUCUUUGGCCCCCUCUCAAGCCCGAAUCCGACGACGGCAAAGGACCAUCGCCGGUCGGUCUAAGGGCCGAUUCAGGUGCACUCCCUCUUCCUUUUUUUUAUAUUUAUUUU
This 25631-nucleotide long non-coding RNA is filed under the name Gossypium barbadense (sea-island cotton). RNAcentral's name for it is "long non-coding RNA (GBAR_LNC004958)". Lineage: Eukaryota; Viridiplantae; Streptophyta; Magnoliopsida; Malvales; Malvaceae. The record is from RNAcentral.